UUUUAUGGAUUUUUGUGAUUUUAUCGACAACUCUAGCUUUUUCGUGGACUCUGAUUUGCCUCCUCACCUUCUGACCUUUGCGAGUACUAUAAUUGACCUUGAUUUGCCUUUUGAUUUGGAUUUUGUACUAUGGCGUCGAAACAUAAGUGUUUUAUUCCUGGUUGUGACCAGAAUGAAAAACGUGAAACCACCAGUACCUUACAUAGGUUCCCCAAUCCUGAUAAGGAUGCUGGAAGAUUCAGAAAAUGGACCAAUGCUAUUGGUGGAAUGUUAUGUGUGGAGUAUUAUAAAAAAAGAAAUAAAUGUCGAAAACCUUA
Plutella xylostella (diamondback moth) is the source of this 317-nucleotide non-coding RNA. The record is from RefSeq and is a predicted model, not a curated record. Lineage: Eukaryota; Metazoa; Arthropoda; Insecta; Lepidoptera; Plutellidae.